AAGUCUGACGGAGCAACGCCGCGUGAGUGAUGAAGGUUUUCGGAUCGUAAAGCUCUGUUGUUAGGGAAGAACAAGUGCAAGAGUAACUGCUUGCACCUUGACGGUACCUAACCAGAAAGCCACGGCUAACUACGUGCCAGCAGCCGCGGUAAUACGUAGGUGGCAAGCGUUGUCCGGAAUUAUUGGGCGUAAAGGGCUCGCAGGCGGUUUCUUAAGUCUGAUGUGAAAGCCCCCGGCUCAACCGGGGAGGGUCAUUGGAAACUGGGAAACUUGAGUGCAGAAGAGGAGAGUGGAAUUCCACGUGUAGCGGUGAAAUGCGUAGAGAUGUGGAGGAACACCAGUGGCGAAGGCGACUCUCUGGUCUGUAACUGACGCUGAGGAGCGAAAGCGUGGGGAGCGAACAGGAUUAGAUACCCUGGUAGUCCACGCCGUAAACGAUGAGUGCUAAGUGUUAGGGGGUUUCCGCCCCUUAGUGCUGCAGCUAACGCAUUAAGCACUCCGCCUGGGGAGUACGGUCGCAAGACUGAAACUCAAAGGAA
Molecule: ribosomal RNA, 539 nt
Filed under: Bacillus sp. DJWH5
Lineage: Bacteria; Bacillati; Bacillota; Bacilli; Caryophanales; Bacillaceae
Description: bacterial SSU rRNA
Rfam family: Bacterial small subunit ribosomal RNA
Source: RNAcentral